GAUUAAGAACGCAGCGAAAUGCGAUACUUGGUGUGAAUUGCAGAAUCCCGUGAACCAUCGAGUCUUUGAACGCAAGUUGCGCCCGAAGCCACUAGGCCGAGGGCACGCCUGCCUGGGCGUCACACGUCGUUGCCCCCCACCAUCUACUCCUUCGGGAUUGCGGGGGGCGGAUGAUGGCCUCCCGUGCGCCUAGCCGCGCGGUUGGCAUAAAUACCAAGUCCUCGGCGACGCACGCCACGACAAUCGGUGGUUGCGAAACCUCGGUUGCCCGUCGUGUGCGUUCGUCGCGCAUCGAGGGCUCGAAAAAAUGCUCGGCUCCGGCUCGGCUUUCAACGCGACCCCAGGUCAGGCGGGGUUACCCGCUGAAUUUAAGCAUAUCAAUAAGCGGAGGA
Molecule: unclassified non-coding RNA, 392 nt
Filed under: soil metagenome
Description: partial contains 5.8S ribosomal RNA, internal transcribed spacer 2, and large subunit ribosomal RNA
Rfam family: 5.8S ribosomal RNA (bases 1-122)
Source: RNAcentral